GGAUGAACGCUGGCGGCGUGCCUAACACAUGCAAGUCGAACGAAGCUCCCCGAAUUGAGUUUUCGGACAAGAAGAAGGGAUGACUUAGUGGCGGACGGGUGAGUAACGCGUGAGCAACCUGCCUCGGAGUGGGGGACAACAGUUGGAAACGACUGCUAAUACCGCAUGAUGUGCAGAGGGGACAUCCCCUUUGUACCAAAGAUUUAUCGCUCUGAGAUGGGCUCACGUCUGAUUAGUUAGUUGGUAGGGUAACGGCCUACCAAGACUGCGAUCAGUAGCCGGACUGAGAGGUCGAACGGCCACAUUGGGACUGAGAUACGGCCCAGACUCCUACGGGAGGCAGCAGUGGGGAAUAUUGGGCAAUGGGCGAAAGCCUGACCCAGCAACGCCGCGUGAAGGAAGAAGGCCUUCGGGUUGUAAACUUCUUUUAUGAGGGACGAAGGAAGUGACGGUACCUCAUGAAUAAGCCACGGCUAACUACGUGCCAGCAGCCGCGGUAAUACGUAGGUGGCAAGCGUUAUCCGGAUUUACUGGGUGUAAAGGGCGCGUAGGCGGGAAGGCAAGUCAGAUGUGAAAUCCAGGGGCUCAACCCCUGAACUGCAUUUGAAACUGCUUUUCUUGAGUGUCGGAGAGGUAGAUGGAAUUCCUAGUGUAGCGGUGAAAUGCGUAGAUAUUAGGAGGAACACCAGUGGCGAAGGCGAUCUACUGGACGAUAACUGACGCUGAGGCGCGAAAGCGUGGGGAGCAAACAGGAUUAGAUACCCUGGUAGUCCACGCUGUAAACGAUGAAUACUAGGUGUGGGGGGACUGACCCCCUCCGUGCCGCAGUUAACACAAUAAGUAUUCCACCUGGGGAGUACGACCGCAAGGUUGAAACUCAAAGGAAUUGACGGGGGCCCGCACAAGCAGUGGAUUAUGUGGUUUAAUUCGAAGCAACGCGAAAAACCUUACCCACCUUUGACAUGUACGGAAUUUGCCAGAGAUGGCUUAGUGCUCGAAAGAGAGCCGUAACACAGGUGCUGCAUGGCUGUCGUCAGCUCGUGUCGUGAGAUGUUGGGUUAAGUCCCGCAACGAGCGCAACCCUUGUCAUUAGUUGCUACAUUUAGUUGGGCACUCUAAUGAGACUGCCGGUGACAAACCGGAGGAAGGUGGGGAUGACGUCAAGUCCUCAUGGCCCUUAUAGGUGGGGCUACACACGUCAUACAAUGGCUGGUACAAAGGGUUGCCAACCCGCGAGGGGGAGCUAAUCCCAUAAAGCCAGUCGUAGUCCGGAUCGCAGUCUGCAACUCGACUGCGUGAAGUCGGAAUCGCUAGUAAUCGUGGAUCAGAAUGUCACGGUGAAUACGUUCCCGGGUCU
RNAcentral lists this ribosomal RNA (1357 nucleotides) under uncultured bacterium. RNAcentral describes it as "bacterial SSU rRNA". It matches the Rfam family "Bacterial small subunit ribosomal RNA", at positions 27 to 1381 of the family's 1533-position model. The record is from RNAcentral.